CCUAAGAGAUACGUGUUAUGUGCAGUGCUCACACAGAUUGUCUGAUGAAGAACGAGCAAAAGCGCGUCUGCGAAGCUGACAAAAGUCCCCUUCGUCUAGAGGCCUAGGACACCGCCCUUUCACGGCGGUAACAGGGGUUCGAAUCCCCUAGGGGACGCCAAUGCGCGGUAUGAGUGAAAGGCGUACCACUUAUCUGACGAGAGUCAGAGAAUAACUAAGCUAAUUCCAAUGAGUUAUCUUACUUAUUAUGCUCUUUAACAAUCUGGAACAAGCUGAAAAAUUGAAAACAAAUCAAUAUAUCACCGAGGUAUAUUGGCGAGUCUCUCAAAAUCUCAAACCUUAAAGUUUGUCACGCAAAGUUUAUCUUUGAAAAAGACACUUUCGGGUUGUGA
This 392-nucleotide unclassified non-coding RNA is filed under the name Proteus mirabilis. Its description in RNAcentral is "partial 16S-23S ribosomal RNA intergenic spacer". The stretch from base 85 to 157 matches the Rfam family "tRNA". The record is from RNAcentral. Lineage: Bacteria; Pseudomonadati; Pseudomonadota; Gammaproteobacteria; Enterobacterales; Morganellaceae.